Molecule: ribosomal RNA, 345 nt
Filed under: uncultured eukaryote
Lineage: Eukaryota
Description: bacterial SSU rRNA
Rfam family: Eukaryotic small subunit ribosomal RNA
Source: RNAcentral
CAAUAGCGUAUAUUUAAGUUGUUGCAGUUAAAAAGCUCGUAGUUGGAUUUCGGGUGAGGAUGACCGGUCUGCCGUUGCGGUACGCACUGGACGUUUUCAUCUUGUUGUCGGGGACGCGCUUCUGGGCUUCACUGUUCGGGACGCGGAGUCGGCGCUGUUACUUUGAAAAAUUAGAGUGUUCAAAGCAGGCAAUCGCUCUGAAUACAUUAGCAUGGAAUAACGCUAUAGGACUCUGGUCCUAUUGUGUUGGUCUUCGGGACCGGAGUAAUGAUUAAGAGGGACAGUUGGGGGCAUCAGUAUUCUGAAGCGAGAGGUGAAAUUCUUGGACCUUCGGAGACUAACAAC